This is a long non-coding RNA of Oncorhynchus keta (chum salmon), 3515 nucleotides long. RefSeq lists it as uncharacterized. The transcript has 3 exons. NCBI's taxonomy places the organism in Eukaryota, Metazoa, Chordata, Actinopteri, Salmoniformes, Salmonidae. The record is from RefSeq and is a predicted model, not a curated record.
CAGCUCUCAGUGCUCUGCUCUUUCAACACUAGCCUCAUUAGAACUAAAUACAAUGAGUCAAGCAACUUUAAUUACCAAAACAACACAGAGAACAAUACAAACUUUUGACUAAACCAACUGCUGUCCUAAAAGUCUAUAAAGAGCCUCGGAUCUGCUUCAAUGCAUUUUGAGAAGAAGGCAAAGAGAGAGAGGAUGCAAGAAAUCAAAUACAAUUGAUUUUCCCCUCUGUGUUUUCACCACUCAUCCUCCUGAUACUAGUGACAGAUGCUGAAUGUGCAACGUGAGGCAGACUGUGGUGCAGAUACAGAUCCAGGCUGCUUAGGAAUGGAGCCAUUGUCAGUCUGUUUCAGGAGGACAGCCUACAGAGGGGAUUCAGGUGUACACAACGUUACCCUUCAAGUGCCAGAUAUGAAAUGACCUUACCCUAUAGCUGCUACAGUGUCUGGCUUCUGAAACCUGCCAUCCAAAAGUAGAAACCCAAGACAUCUGAGCUGCAAGGCACCUUCCAUCUCUAAAACAAACUCCAGCUGUGUUAAAACUAAGGCGGGUCUUUGUUUGUUCUUCUUCAUGCAUUCCGGUUUCAGCUCCACUGGGAGCUGGCAGACUGGGAGAGGUAUGAGAGGUGGCUAUGGACAAUGACAGCAUUCUGGGCACAGUCCUCCCAUCUCAGCGUGCAUUCAGCACAGCAACUGUUUAGCACAUCUCAGCAUUAGCCUAGGUCAUGAUGGUUCCUUUGCUUGAAUUCACAUCACUAGUACAGAAUUUCUUUUUUGAAUGUCAGAACAUGUGGUUUUAAGGGUAGAGAGUGCAAUCUUAGAGAGAAUGUGAAUAUGUAUGUCAGCUUGACGUGUGAACUGAUGCUUGGAGCUACAUAUCGAGGCUUGUAAGUGUGUUUUUUUUAUUUAGAUGCGGGAGGAUAUAUAUUUUAAAAAAUCCAAAUCAUUUCAAUCAUUUAAGUGAUAUAUUGUAUGGGAUGUCAAAAGCAGUUAUUUCUAGCACCUUGUACCAGACGGAUGUGCCACUUCCCCUAUCACCCAUUUGACUGUCCUAUGUCAGAUAGUGAUGCCAUAAAACAUAUCAGAUACACUUUUCUCAUGUAAUAGUCAAUUCCAUCGCAGCGUAUGCAAAGCCUACAGUUUGCUGAUUGAUAUAUGCAAUACAAUGGUUUAAAUCACAGAGAUAGCAAAAUGCUUUCAAUGAUGUGCCAUGGAGCCAAACAUAUCACCCUUCCAUCCCCUCCGUCCCAACCCAGAAUCUACUCUCUCUCUCUCUCUCUCUCUAUAAUGUGCUCCAGCCUCCCAGAGGAUGGAGUGGCACCAGUCCCAUUUCUCCUGUCUGGCUCCAGGGUGUUAUGCUGGGUAAAAAGAGAACCAGCUGUGUUGCAGGAUACCUCUGGAUAAAGACACAGUCCAAAAUGGAAAUAUUGUUAUUUAUCUACAACACACAUAUAAAUCUCCAUAGUGCUUUGGUAUGAGUAGCAGUGCCAGAAAACGUCAGAAUAGAAGACGGACAAAGAUAGUUUUACACAAUGAGGUCUGUGCUCUCUACCACACGAGGCACAUUAUCGAGAUGGGCAAAACAAAUGAGAAAGCUGCUACUUAACUCAGUUGAUAUACUGUACUAGGAGAGGUUUUGUUUACAGCUAGGAGAGGGUUUGUUUACAGUUAGGAGAGGGUUUGUUUGCAGCUAGGAGAGGGUUUGUUUGCAGCUAGGAGAGGGUUUGUUUGCAGCUAGGAGAGGGUUUGUUUGCAUCUAGGAGAGGGUUUGUUUACAGCUAGGAGAGGGUUUGUUUACAGCUAGGAGAGGGUUUGUUUACAGCUAGGAGAGGGUUUGUUUGCAGCUAGGAGAGGGUUUGUUUACAGCUAGGAGAGGGUUUGUUUGCAGCUAGGAGAGGGUUUGUUUACAGCUAGGAGAGGGUUUGUUUGCAGCUAGGAGAGGGUUUGUUUACAGCUAGGAGAGGGUUUGUUUACAGCUAGGAGAGGGAUUGUUUGCAGCUAGGAGAGGGUUUGUUUGCAGCUAGGAGAGGGUUUGUUUGCAGCUAGGAGAGGGUUUGUUUGCAGCUAGGAGAGGGUUUGUUUGAAGCUAAGAGAGGGUUUGUUUGCAGCUAGGAGAGGGUUUGUUUGCAGCUAGGAGAGGGUUUGUUUGCAGCUAGGAGAGGGUUUGUUUGCAGCUAGGAGAGGGUUUGUUUACAGCUAGGAGAUGGAUUGUUUACAGCUAGGAGAGGGUUUGUUUACAGCUAGGAGAGGGUUUGUUUGCAGCUAGGAAAGGGUUUGUUUGCAGCUAGGAGAGGAUUUGUUUGCAGUUAGGAGAGGGUUUGUUUGCAGUUAGGAGAGGGUUUGUUUGCAGCUAGGAGAGGGUUUGUUUGCAGCUAGGAGAGGGUGUGUUUGCAGCUAGGAGAGGGUUUGUUUACAGCUAGGAGAGGGUUUGUUUGCAGCUAGGAGAGGGUUUGUUUACAGCUAGGAGAGGGUUUGUUUGCAGCUAGGAGAGGGUUUGUUUACAGCUAGGAGAGGGUUUGUUUACAGCUAGGAGAGAGUUUGUUUACAGCUAGGAGACAGUUUGUUUACAGCUAGGAGACAGUUUGUUUACAGCUAGGAGAGGGUUUGUUUGCAGCUAGGAGAGGGUUUGUUUGCAGCUAGGAGAGGGUUUGUUUGCAGUUAGGAGAGGGUUUGUUUGCAGUUAGGAGAGGGUUUGUUUGCAGCUAGGAGAGGGUUUGUUUGCAGCUAGGAGAGAGUUUGUUUACAGCUAGGAGAGGGUUUGUUUACAGCUAGGAGAGGGUUUGUUUACAGCUAGGAGAGGGUUUGUUUACAGCUUGGAGAGGGUUUGUUUACAGCUAGGAGAGGGUUUGUUUACAGCUAGGAGAGGGUUUGUUUGCAGCUAGGAGAGGGUUUGUUUACAGCUAGGAGAGGGUUUGUUUACAGCUAGGAGAGGGUUUGUUUGCAGCUAGGAGAGGGUUUGUUUGCAGCUAGGAGAGAGUUUGUUUGCAGUUAGGAGAGGGUUUGUUUGCAGCUAGGGAGAGUUUGUUUACAGCUAGGAGAGGAUUUGUUUACAGCUAGGAGAGGGUUUGUUUACAGCUAGGAGAGGGUUUGUUUACAGCUAGGAGAGGGUUUGUUUGCAGCUAGGAGACAGUUUGUUUACAGCUAGGAGAGGGUUUGUUUGCAGUUAGGAGAGGGUUUGUUUGCAUCUAGGAGAGGGUUUGUUUACAGCUAGGAGAGGGUUUGUUUACAGCUAGGAGAGGUUUUGUUUACAGCUAGGAGAGGGUUUGUUUGCAGCUAGGAGAGGGUUUGUUUACAGCUAGGAGAGGGUUUGUUUGCAGCUAGGAGAGGGUUUGUUUGCAGCUAGGAGAGGGUUUGUUUGCAGCUAGGAGAGGGUUUGUUUACAGCUAGGAGAGGGUUUGUUUACAGCUAGGAGAGGAUUUGUUUGCAGCUAGGAGAGGGUUUGUUUGCAGCUAGGAGAGGGUUUGUUUGAAGCUAAGAGAGGGUUUGUUUGCAGCUAGGAGAGGGUUUGUUUGCAGCUAG